Molecule: ribosomal RNA, 497 nt
Filed under: uncultured bacterium
Lineage: Bacteria
Description: partial 16S ribosomal RNA
Rfam family: Bacterial small subunit ribosomal RNA
Source: RNAcentral
GAUGAACGCUGGCGGCGUGCCUAAUACAUGCAAGUCGAGCGAACAGAUAAGGAGCUUGCUCCUUUGACGUUAGCGGCGGACGGGUGAGUUACACGUGGAUAACCUACCUAUAAGACUGGGAUAACUUCGGGAAACCGGAUCUAAUACCGGAUAACAUGUUGUACCGCAUGAUUCAAUAGUGAAAGGCGGCUUUGCUGUUACUUAUAGAUGGUUCCGCGCCGUAUUAGCUAGUUGGUAAGGUAACGGCUUACCAAGGCAACGAUACGUAGCCGACCUGAGAGGGUGAUCGGCCACACUGGAACUGAGACACGGUCCAGACUCCUACGGGAGGCAGCAGUAGGGAAUCUUGCGCAAUGGGCGAAAGCCUGACGGAGCAACGCCGCGUGAGUGAUGAAGGUCUUCGGAUCGUAAAACUCUGUUAUCGGGGAAGAACAAAUGUGGAAGUAAAUGUGCACAUCUUGACGGUACCUGAUCAGAAAGCCACGGCUAACUACGUG